UACAGAGGGGGCAAGCGUUGUUCGGAAUUACUGGGCGUAAAGGGCGCGCAGGCGGCUCAUUUUGUCAGGCGUGAAAGCCCCGGGCUUAACCUGGGAACUGCGUUUGAUACGGAUGGGCUAGAGUUCGGGAGAGGAGAGUGGAAUUCCCAGUGUAGAGGCGAAAUUCGUAGAUAUUGGGAAGAACACCGGUGGCGAAGGCGGCUCUCUGGACCGAGACUGACGCUGAGGCGCGAAAGCGUGGGGAGCAAACAGG
RNAcentral lists this ribosomal RNA (253 nucleotides) under uncultured bacterium. Its description in RNAcentral is "partial 16S ribosomal RNA". It matches the Rfam family "Bacterial small subunit ribosomal RNA", at positions 524 to 776 of the family's 1533-position model. The record is from RNAcentral.